Molecule: unclassified non-coding RNA, 1761 nt
Filed under: Leishmania donovani
Lineage: Eukaryota; Euglenozoa; Kinetoplastea; Trypanosomatida; Trypanosomatidae
Description: gene:LdHU3.18.0500(CDS-product:hypothetical_prote in_conserved)
Source: RNAcentral
UGCAGCCGUACUGCACUAUCUUUUUCUCUGCUUGAGCGGGCAUUUCUGCUCACCAAAGGACACGGAAAGAGGUGGGUGGCGAGGGAGACGGGACAGUUGGCGUCCAUACAACGCGGUUGGCCUUCUCGUUUCCACCACGUGUUGCGAGAGCGUGUGCGCUUUAGGUAGCUCCGCCGGCUGCGUCUACAUCUCCUCUGACGGUCUCCCUCUCUUACCCCAUUCUCUCUCUCUUUUUGUAGUAGCAGUAGCUUCACUUAGACUUUCCACUCUCUCCUUAGUCGUAGUUGUAGUUAUAGUUGUGCCACUCCGCUGUACUCCUGCGCCUCCACGCGACAUCCUCGCGCCUCCCUUGUUCUGCCGUUUUCUCCGUCGUUUCUGUUGUGCACCCGGUUUCAGGCGCAGUCGUCGCUGUGCAGAGAGGUCACCCACACCUAUACACACACUUGGGUGGAUGCACGUACGUGCAUACUAGGCCUUCUCUGACUUAUUUCUUGCUUCACUGCUCUUCUCGUUUUUGCGCGCGUCUGCUGUUCGCUCCUUGCUGCAGAACGGAGCGAAGCCCAAGUUGUAGGCGGCACUUCUCUUUGUUCUGUUCUACUUUUUCGUCGUCAUUGCAUCUCCUGCCAGGGCGUGCGUGUGCGUGUGUGGCGGAGUUGGGGACUUUUUAUUGUGCACAUCCCUUUCUCUUCCUCUGCAUUGGUCCGCUCUCUCUCACUCUCGCUCUGCACCGCCACCCUUUGAUAAGCCGUGGCGCCGAUACCGUCCAGCAUUCGUUGAAACAAGCGAAAAUGCUACGUCGCUGCCUUCUACUGCGUAGCGGCCAUGGCGACCUGUUCCCCACGAGCAAGGCGGCUGCUCACCUCACCCCCGCUUGGGUCGUGAACCGCGAGGUCCCGCACGCCCCUGGCAAGGGGCGUUGCUACGCUGACUUUACAACGCCUGAGCACCAUAGCAAGUUUCAGAUGAUCGUCCCCGAAACACAUGAGGUGAAGGUGAUCUCCACCCAUAACCCAUCCUCUGCGGAAGUGCACCACUGCACGACGAAGCGGCCCUCCGCCGCCUCUGUGGCGGCCACCGUCGCCGGGGUGAAGAGCGCCCUCGAUACGCAUCACCCCAAGACGAACGACACUCCAAUGGCGCGGGCGAACAUCGCGGCGAAGCUUGCCGCUGAGCAGCGCGCCAAGACGCGUGACUUCAUGGCGCACAAGCGCGGUCUGAUGAAGCGUAACCACAAGUACAUCCCGACAGUGGACUAUCCUUCUUCGCAGUUUUACAUCGAGGACCGGGCAAACAAGCUGCGCAAGAUCGAGAACGGCAACCCGAACGGGUACGUGCAGGAGCACAUGCCGUGGGAGACACCGUCACCCUCGCCGGCGCCUCCACAGAAGUAAAGACAAGCGGAUAGCCGACGCCGCAGAGCUCGGGCUGAUGGUGGUGGUGGUGAGGGCCGGGAUGUGAGAAACCGCAGGAGGAAGCGCAGCAGCAGAAACGAAGGAAAAGAGUAGGCUCUUCUCCACAUUCUCUCUUGCUUGGCUGACGUGUGUCUGUCGGUUUCAGAUGAGGAGGAGUGAGGGUGCUGUGGCGACUCUCCGUGUGUGUGUGUGCGGUGCUCGUGCUUCGCUGGCGUGUCCUCUUGCUCUCUCCGAUCUUUCUUGUUUUUUUUUUCUCGUGUUCAGCCACGCCAGCGCGGACGCGCAAACCGUCUGGUGCAUGAGGGUGGCGGACUGCCGAUCAAGUAGGUGCGCGUUACCGCGAAACAAC